This 2051-nucleotide long non-coding RNA is filed under the name Salvia miltiorrhiza (redroot sage). RNAcentral describes it as "long non-coding RNA (SMIL_LNC008741)". Lineage: Eukaryota; Viridiplantae; Streptophyta; Magnoliopsida; Lamiales; Lamiaceae. The record is from RNAcentral.
UUAAAUCUAUUUUUAACAUAAUAUAUACUAAAGUAAAGCCCUUAUUAUAAUUUUUAAUUUAAUAUUAUAUUUUUUAAAAUAUUUUAUCAUUAGUUAAAUUAUACUACAAUUUUUAUAAAUAGAGAAAAAGAAAAAGAAAUAAAAAAAUACUCCCUCCGUCCACCAAAAACAGUCCUAAAGGUGGACGGCAUGGGUUUUAAUAAAAACUAGAUGACUGCCCAAAAACUGUAACAGAACAAAGGAAAAAUCAGGAUGUACAAGCAUAACCCAGAAAAAAUCAGGAUGUACAAGCAUAACCCAGGAACAUAUAAAAUAUUUUUAAUUGUGUACUCUCCCAUAUCUCAAAUAAAAAAAUUAAGCAUUUGAUCUCAAGUAACCAAUGUCAUUAUCAUUACCUAACCAUAUAACAGAUUUAAUUUAGGAAUUUGUUGUCAAGGGAUAUAUUCAAAGGUAAAAAGCGGAGAGUUAUCCACAGGAAGAUAAUAGAGGAGAACAACCAAUGUGGCAAUACAAAACAAUCAAAUAAGAACCGACUAAGUUAAGGGAAACAGAACUUACGGUUGCUUCCGAACAUUUUUCUUCAGCAAAAUAAAGCCAAUAGUGCGUAUUCGUUAACCUGGAAUGUGAACAGCAAGAGAUUAUGAGAAAAACUCCACUAACAAAUUCAAAAACAACAAAAGUAUGAAAUCAUAAACUAUUCAAAGCAUCAAUAAAAGAAAUUUAAUGCAGACAUAUACUAUCUCAAACACUCGCAUCCCUAUCAUGGCAAUCAGUUCAGUGAACGAAUAAACACCGAGGUAUCGUCAUUAUUAUAAUUUGCCUCAAUACAAACGACAUUGGGACGAUAGAAACAUUAGUAACACGAUAUAAUGCGGUAAACGGACAAAUCAAAAAACAGUAGUUUUGUAUAAUUUCAAAGUCCAAACUUACCAUCACCCCUUACUUUUUACCAACUAUGCCCCUUUAACAUCAUCACAAAACACUCUCUGCAAAACCAAUCCAUCCUUGUUCAUUUCUCACAAAUUCAAUCAACAUUUCGCAAGAAAGAGGAGUUUCAAGUGCUGAGCUAAUUCCAGCCUCCACCAAAUUUCAAGCAACCAAACAUCAGCAAGUUUUCCAAAGGUUUUUAACUUUUAAAUUUCUGUAACUUCAGUUCUAAUUUCAGCUAUAACACACAUCUCGAUAUAUAUACACAUAUAUUUCAAAUGAAACCAAAAUGCCGUACAUGAAUAACAGCUGCAUAUGUGUAUAUUUUGUGUAUAGCAGAACAAAGAUUUCAAAAGGAAUGACAACUUCACAAAUAGUUUUAAAGAAAAGAACUUUGACUUGAAUAAUCUGGAUUUUAGCUUUUGAACUCUAUUUUGUGAUGCUUGAGUCGAACUGAGUCGGUGGGUACCGAGUUGAGUCGGAUGGGUGUUGUUGUAGCUGCUGAGCCGAGUCAGGGAAGGUGGGCAACAGCCUCAGGGCUUUGUUUUAUCACCGGAGUUCAGAGGGAAGAGAUGGAGGGAGACCGGGCGUCGACUGUGGUGGCACGGCUGCUGCUGUAGUCUGUCCGGCGAGGCUUUGAGAUGAGGGAGAACGGAUGGAGGCAGCGCUGCGUAGGGGCGGCGUCGUUGCCAGAAAUUGAGAGGAGCCGUGAUUGGGGCUAGGGCUCAGACGGCGGAGUCCCUCACCGUCGCCGUUCUGGGUCAGAGAGGAGGCGAGAGCAGAGGGGUAAGGGAGAUGAGGCGGUGACCGUGGCGGCGGUUGCUGCCGCCGAGAAAGAGAGGGAUAUGGGGCGCCGGUGUGGCCGGAGAUGAGGGAGAAGAUGAAGGGAGUCGGGAGAGGGGCGGCGUGUGUGGGUCCGUGUGUGUGUGGCCAACCUUGAGUGAAAUAGAGUCGAGGGAGUCGGGAGAGGAGUGGCCGGCGGCGUUCGUGGCCGGAGGAGGAGCCGUGGCGGCGAGGUUCUGAGAGAGGGCCGGAUUCAGUAAGGUUUGAGAGAGAUUAGAGAGAGGGCGAGUUGUGGUGCUGAGGGAGAGAUUGAAACCUAUCUUGUGAGUUGUGACUUGUGA